UUUCCCCCAAAAUGGUGCCAAUUUCUUACCCUAAUCACCAAGAGAAAAGCCAGUAUGAGCUUGCUUCACUUGGGCUGAAGACGAUACCAGAUGCAUCUUUCAAUUUGGGAAUGCAGCCAGAAGUUACACCCCUUUGGAUGUAGAAAGUUGACUUAAGACAUCGACCUUCUGAUUAAGAAGGAGUAAGUAACGGGAAAUCAUCUUUGUGGC
Long non-coding RNA from Lontra canadensis (Northern American river otter), 210 nucleotides. RefSeq lists it as uncharacterized. The transcript is spliced from 3 exons. NCBI's taxonomy places the organism in Eukaryota, Metazoa, Chordata, Mammalia, Carnivora, Mustelidae. The record is from RefSeq and is a predicted model, not a curated record.